UAACACAUGCAAGUCGAACGAGAGAGAGGGAGCUUGCUUCCUCAAUCGAGUGGCGAACGGGUGAGUAACGCGUGAGGAACCUGCCUCAAAGAGGGGGACAACAGUUGGAAACGACUGCUAAUACCGCAUAAGCCCACGGCUCGGCAUCGAGCAGAGGGAAAAGGAGCAAUCCGCUUUGAGAUGGCCUCGCGUCCGAUUAGCUAGUUGGUGAGGUAAUGGCCCACCAAGGCAACGAUCGGUAGCCGGACUGAGAGGUUGAACGGCCACAUUGGGACUGAGACACGGCCCAGACUCCUACGGGAGGCAGCAGUGGGGAAUAUUGCACAAUGGGGGAAACCCUGAUGCAGCGACGCCGCGUGGAGGAAGAAGGUCUUCGGAUUGUAAACUCCUGUUAUUGAGGAAGAUAAUGACGGUACUCAACAAGGAAGUGACGGCUAACUACGUGCCAGCAGCCGCGGUAAAACGUAGGUCACAAGCGUUGUCCGGAAUUACUGGGUGUAAAGGGAGCGCAGGCGGGAAGACAAGUUGGAAGUGAAAUCUAUGGGCUCAACCCAUAAACUGCUUUCAAAACUGUUUUUCUUGAGUAGUGCAGAGGUAGGCGGAAUUCCCGGUGUAGCGGUGGAAUGCGUAGAUAUCGGGAGGAACACCAGUGGCGAAGGCGGCCUACUGGGCACCAACUGACGCUGANGCUCGAAAGUGUGGGUAGCAAACAGGAUUAGAUACCCUGGUAGUCCACACCGUAAACGAUGAUUACUAGGUGUUGGAGGAUUGACCCCUUCAGUGCCGCAGUUAACACAAUAAGUAAUCCACCUGGGGAGUACGACCGCAAGGUUGCAACUCAAAUGAAUUGA
RNAcentral lists this ribosomal RNA (851 nucleotides) under uncultured bacterium. RNAcentral's name for it is "bacterial SSU rRNA". It matches the Rfam family "Bacterial small subunit ribosomal RNA", at positions 49 to 913 of the family's 1533-position model. The record is from RNAcentral.